This 251-nucleotide long non-coding RNA is filed under the name Vigna radiata. Its description in RNAcentral is "long non-coding RNA (VRAD_LNC006113)". Lineage: Eukaryota; Viridiplantae; Streptophyta; Magnoliopsida; Fabales; Fabaceae. The record is from RNAcentral.
GUAGAAGUAAUGCCUAGCGUCGUGCACAAGACUCAAAAGACUUGGAUGGUCACCCAAGCAUUUAGGUAAAGCAGAGUGAGGGCAGUGUUCUGAAAGUCGUCAACGGGAAUCCUAUGAAUUGAUUGUUAAAAAAGCAAGCAUACAUAAAAAAGAAGUCUAGUUUAGAAUUCUUCUAAUUGUAGCAUACAUCCUUGUUUCCUUUACAGAUUCAAAUAUUCACAACAUAGUCAUCAAUAUCAUCACCAAGUAUA